RNAcentral lists this long non-coding RNA (2124 nucleotides) under Homo sapiens (human). RNAcentral's name for it is "HSALNT0290557". Lineage: Eukaryota; Metazoa; Chordata; Mammalia; Primates; Hominidae. The record is from RNAcentral.
GUCUCAAAAAAACAAAAAGCAAAACAAAAAAACCAGUGAUAGUCAUGGAUGAUAACCUGUUGAAUUCCCUAAGAAAACACAGGUCCGUAUUGCGACAAAUAAAUAAGUGAAUAAACUGGAAGUUGAUGAGAAAAGGGAUAUUGACAUAGUCUCAGAGUAUCUUCUCACAAAAUACUUAUUAAUUACAAAGAGAGAAGGAAUAACUUUGCAGUGGAGAAACUUGGCAGACACCACCUUAAGUGAUCAAAUUUAACAUCACCUUUAUUGAAACUGAUCCAAAGCGCCCCAUAACUGCCACUUAGGAUAGUCCUGCCACAAACGCAUGACCUGAAUCUAACCACGAGGAAACACCAGCCAAACCCCAAUUUGAUGAAGUAAGUGAUCUGUAAUCUUCAAAAUGUCAAGGCCGUGAAGGAAGUACUGAGUAACUGUUCCAGACCGAAGGAGACCUGACAAUUUCAUGCAACGCAGGAGACUGAACCGGGUCCUUUUGCUACCGAGGCAUUGUUGAGAUAGUUGGCAAAACUGGCGCCAGGUCUGUGGAGUGGAAGGCUCUUCAACCUGUAAAAUGGGAGGGUAGUGCCUACUUCACCAUAGCCGUGGGGAGAAGCCCGUGAAAACUUCCUGAGGGUCACCAGCCACAUUUGAAGCGAGCAGCUACCGGAUUGGAUAGUGCAGCCCUGCCUCCAACACGUUCACCUGACCCACGGGCAACCGAGGUCCAAGGAGGGCGUGGUCUGCCCAAGGUCACUGAGCUGAGUGGGACCAGGACCCAGGUCCCCUGACUCCAUCACAGCUGUUCCGCUCCACUUCACUGCCUGCCCUAUUUUCAUCAGGACAGCAAGCAGCGACCCAAGAAGCAGCAGUUUCAGCAGUGGAGUCAGAAGGCACAGCCUAACAACAUAUUCCUGCUCAGACAGUAAACUUCUUAGCGUUUCUUUAUUUUAUGUGAAUCUUGCCUGUGACCAUUCUCCACCACUGGAUGAUAUACAUAUGUGUGGAAAGAGUGCAUAAACGACUUUAGCAAGCAUCUAUUGAGCACCUACUGUGUUUCCAGCCCUGCACCUGGCCUUAAAGAUACGGAGAUGAAGACAGCCCAGCUCUGGUCCUCGGGCAGCUCACCUCUGGUCCAGGGAGGGCAGAGUGGUCAGCCCCUCACUUAGGGUGUGCAGAGGGUGGCGUGGGGUCUGAUACAGAGCCGUGCAGAAGUGCUGUGGGAGUGAGCAGAUUGCAUGCCUAGUGUAUGAAAACCCCAGCAAGCAGCCUCCUGGGCUGGCGGAACCAGCUGGAAGGGACCUUGGGAAAAUCCGUGGGGAGCCCACAUGUGGAGCUGCUGGGCCUCGGCCUGUGGGUGUGUGGUGUUUGGGUAACAGCCCAAAGGCUAGGAGGGUUUGUUUUUGUUGUUGAUUGGAACUGAGAGGGGCUAUUGUCAGGCAAAGCCUCAGCUUAUUGGUGUGUGGUGUUGGCUCAGGACUGUGGGGUGGGUACUUGCUGGGGUGCAGUUGCUGUCAGUAACAUCCCUUCAUGGAGCACCCAUUGCAGCAUCCCUCUCCCCCUCCUUCACACAUGUACACACUUGCACGCUCCCACACACACGUGUGCAUCGCCAGUUAUAAAAUUUAAUUUGCAGAGCCCAGGACAAAAUGAAAAUGCAAAGUCCCUUGAUCAAAAGUUAAGAAUUUUAAGGCCGCGACAGUAGAUUGUUUAGACAAGCACAGGGGCCUUCUAAUGGGCCCCGGGUGGCUGCACAGGACACACGUCGGAGAAGCUGGCCCUGCACACACACAGACACACAAGGUCCCCCACUGUUUGCACUGGCCUGUAUCUUCCCUUCUCUCCACCCACUGUGAGGGAGGCCAAAGGCAUGCCAGCUAGUGCUUUAGAGGUUUAUUAUCUCAUGUCAUCUGUCAACAUCCGAUGUCAAUAAUGGCUAUCAUGCCCACUCUCCAUAUGAGGAAGUGAAGAUGAGAAGGAAGAUCUGGGAUUCGAACCCAAAACUUACCUGAGUCCAAAGCCCAGGCUUGUUCCAUGCACACCCUGCCCCCACACCACACAAAGAGGAAUGAGCCACCUCCUUUUUUGUGUUAUUUCUGAUGUUUUUCUUUCUGUUUCUUCCUUCCUUCC